CGGGGACUGGCCUAAUGGUAAGGCGCUUCGUUCGGGACGAAGAGAUUGGCGGUUCGAGUCCGCCGUCCCCGACCA
Molecule: transfer RNA, 75 nt
Filed under: Parcubacteria group bacterium CG23_combo_of_CG06-09_8_20_14_all_35_9
Lineage: Bacteria
Description: tRNA-Pro
Rfam family: tRNA
About the family: Transfer RNA (tRNA) molecules are approximately 80 nucleotides in length.
Source: RNAcentral